Molecule: long non-coding RNA, 682 nt
Organism: Cercocebus atys (sooty mangabey)
Lineage: Eukaryota; Metazoa; Chordata; Mammalia; Primates; Cercopithecidae
Exons: 3
Source: RefSeq, a predicted model, not a curated record
CUCAGCAGACAUACCACCCACAGUUUCCUGUUAGCAGCUUGUCCAACUAAGACAAGAGCAGCUGUCUUAAUUCUUCCUCUCUCUCUCCAUCAAUGAGGCUCAGAAAAGCCAGCAAUUUGCCUUUAUUCUUCAGAGGACAGCUCUCUCCCAGUGGCUAUAACAAAAUGUAAUAAACUGGGUAGUUCAGAAGCAACAGAACUUGAUUUCUCAUCGUUCUAGAAGUUAAGGAGUUCAUGAUCAAGGUAGCAGCAGAGUUGGUGCCUGAUCUUUACCAUGCUGGAUUGAAAGAGAAAAGACCAUCAGUAAAGCAAAUGGAUCAAAUGGAGUUAUAAAUCAACUCUGUACUCUUUACAGGAUUGACUCAACUGCAGACAUCUCCAAUACACACCCUCAUGGCUUUAUUUUUUUCUGCUUAUGUGGAAAAAUAACAGUAAAUACAGUUCACUAUUCCAAGACAGAAGAGUAUUAUUAAAAAAAAAAACAAUGUUAUUGAUUUUUCAAGACAUAAGCAGAUUAUUUUUAAACUCUGAUUUAAUAAAACAUAAUGUAAUUUCUUUUAUGGGAUUUUUUAUGCUUUCUCAAUGUUUAUUACCCUGUGUGUUUCACACUUCAAAAUGAGAGUAUCCAAAUAAGAUCACUUAAGAGGAUCCUGAUGUAAGUUACAAAAUCCCCAUGGCUGUUA